This is a small nuclear RNA of Scomber japonicus (chub mackerel), 164 nucleotides long. RefSeq annotates it as U1 spliceosomal RNA. Lineage: Eukaryota; Metazoa; Chordata; Actinopteri; Scombriformes; Scombridae. The transcript has a single exon. The record is from RefSeq and is a predicted model, not a curated record.
UUAUCAAUUUGACACUAAUUAAUAAAGCGCCUAAAAAUUGUUUCACCCAGGGCGAGGCUCAACCAUUGCACUCCGGUUGUGCUGACCUCUGCGAAUUCCCCAAAUGUGGGAAUCUCGAUUGCAUAAUUUCUGGUAGUGGGGGACUGCGUUCGCGCUCUCCCCUG